AUCCAGCUAACGAGUCGCAAAUAGGACAAAAUGCGCAUCAAAUUGGAU
Molecule: non-coding RNA, 48 nt
Filed under: Schistosoma mattheei
Lineage: Eukaryota; Metazoa; Platyhelminthes; Trematoda; Strigeidida; Schistosomatidae
Source: RNAcentral